UUAGUAUGAUAAGCAGGACUAAAUGCUUAAUUGUGUAUCAUUUGUGGUAGAUCAUUAACCUUUGUGAUAUUUUGAGCCUAAUAAUGGGUAACGUUCAAAAAUCCAUAUUUUUCUUUCUUGUGUGAUUUCACUCAUAUCUGUUAGUCUCUAGAACUUGAUCUGACUCUUUUUAGAACUGUUGAUUACUUGUGCAUACUGAUAUGAUAAAUGCAAGUUGUUUAUGUUUUUUUCAUUAGCCAGUUAGUCAAAAAGUCAACCCUGAAUAAUAUCAUCCCUUGUUUGAAAAUCCUUUGAGCCUAUUUAUCUCAUUCUUUGUUUGAAACUCAUUACAAGCCUAAGAGUGAAAAAUAAUGUCAUCACCCUAUUUAAAGGAUUGAAAGAGUCUUGUUUGGAGUUGUGUUGGGUUGAAUAAUUAUAGUUGUGAUAUUUCAAAAGUUGGCAGGAAAUAGAAGAAAAAAAAUAGAAAUAGAAAAAAAGAGAAAAAGAGAAAA
This 491-nucleotide long non-coding RNA is filed under the name Lathyrus oleraceus (garden pea). Its description in RNAcentral is "Pisum sativum (pea) long non-coding RNA (PSAT_LNC026633)". Lineage: Eukaryota; Viridiplantae; Streptophyta; Magnoliopsida; Fabales; Fabaceae. The record is from RNAcentral.